RNAcentral lists this ribosomal RNA (318 nucleotides) under uncultured bacterium. RNAcentral describes it as "bacterial SSU rRNA". It matches the Rfam family "Bacterial small subunit ribosomal RNA", at positions 28 to 334 of the family's 1533-position model. The record is from RNAcentral.
GACGAACGCUGGCGGCGUGCUUAACACAUGCAAGUCGAACGGGGAAGUUGUGCUUCGGCAGAAUUCCUAGUGGCGAACGGGUGAGUAACGCGUAGGCAACCUGCCCUUCAGACGGGGACAACCAUUCCGAAAGGGGGUGCUAAUACCGGAUACGAAGCUUCUGCCGCAUGACGGAAGCUUGAAAGGCGCUUUCAAGCGCCGCUGAAGGAUGGGCCUGCGUCCGAUUAGCUUGUUGGUGGGGUAACGGCCCACCAAGGCGACGAUCGGUAGCCGGUCUGAGAGGAUGAACGGCCACAUUGGGACUGAGACACGGCCCAG